Long non-coding RNA from Carassius auratus (goldfish), 1003 nucleotides. RefSeq lists it as uncharacterized. Lineage: Eukaryota; Metazoa; Chordata; Actinopteri; Cypriniformes; Cyprinidae. The transcript is spliced from 3 exons. The record is from RefSeq and is a predicted model, not a curated record.
GACAGCUCGAGUUCUGGCUCACAUUAAAACUGCACUUGAGCAUGGCAAUAACGUGUUCGUCUCCUUAUUCACAGGUUAUUUCUGCGUUUUCUACAUUCAGCUCAUCUGUCACCACUGGUGCUGCAGACUCUGAUCUGGGAUGGAGAUCUGAAGGGGACAAUUACAGCUGUUGACUAGCAGGCAGCCAGGUGCAGAGAGGGGUAAUGAGAGUCUGAUCACGUAACGCCGAGCUCACUGCAAAACUGAAGAUCAUCACCAUUUUCAUCUUUAUAUCAGCAGUCUAUGAAAAAAGCAAUUACAGCAAUCAUGAAGUGUGGGCAUGUUGGGUUCUGUCCCAGGACAUCUCGUUACAGCACACAGACACUGUGCUGAUGUGAUCCAGCGAGAGGAGUGUGAGGAUGAGGAGGCAGACCUUCCUCUGUACGAACACUGAUUCAAUGCAAUAAGCUUUUGACAAAUUCCUUUUAAACAAACUUUACAAUAACACAAUUCCUUUAACCAUGUGUCUUUUGAGAAGAGUUUUUCCUUCUUUAACCGCUGAAUCUCCCAAGGUUGUUACUGUCAUCUUUGAUUAACCACUGAGGAGUUUAAAUGGGGUUAUUCUCUGUAAAGCAGCUUUAGAACAAAACCGUAUUAAUUAAUUGAGCUUUACAUAAACGGUGAACUGAAUUGAAGACAUACAGAUCAAACAAUAGCAUGAAUUGUUAAACUAGUCAAGACGUGUGGUUCAGGGAGAGUAUCCAAGGUUCUUUUGAGCAGCAGUCAGAUGAUAAAUGACAUCCCUGCAACUGUGUGAUGCUCUGCAAGGACUUUCAUAACACGUGGACAAAGUUACAUGGAGUUCAGGACAGAAUGCAUACAGUCUGAAUGGCUUUUCUUAAAUUUGGUUUAUUUUCUCAUUUUGUAUUUCAGAAACAUGCCAUUGUUUUUGUAAUUUGUAGUUUGCUUUAUUCCUAAAAUACAUUCAAGUUUAUUUGUAUAGCGCUUUUUACAAAAUAAAUCG